GGUCAAGCGAAUAAGCGCACACGGUGGAUGCCUUGGCGGUCAGAGGCGAUGAAGGACGUGGCAGCCUGCGAAAAGUAUCGGGGAGCUGGCAACAAGCUUUGAUCCGGUAAUGUCCGAAUGGGGAAACCCACCCGCUUGCGGGUAUCCUGCAGUGAAUACAUAGCUGCUGGAAGCGAACCUGGUGAACUGAAAUAUCUAAGUAACCAGAGGAAAAGAAAUCAACCGAGAUUCCGUAAGUAGCGACGAGCGAACGCGGACUAGCCCUUAAGCUGGAUUGGUUCUAGGAAAACGCUCUGGAAAGAGCGGCCAUAGAAGGUGAUAGCCCUGUAUCUGAAAGGGCCAUUCCAGUGAAGACGAGUAGGGCGGGGCACGUGAAACCCUGUCUGAACAUGGGGGGACCAUCCUCCAAGGCUAAAUACUACUGACCGACCGAUAGUGAACCAGUACCGUGAGGGAAAGGCGAAAAGAACCCCGGAGAGGGGAGUGAAAUAGAACCUGAAACCGUGUGCGUACAAGCAGUAGGAGCUCCGCAAGGAGUGACUGCGUACCUUUUGUAUAAUGGGUCAGCGACUUACUGUUCGUGGCAAGCUUAACCGUAUAGGGGAGGCGAAGGGAAACCGAGUCUGAUAAGGGCGCAUAGUCGCGGGCAGUAGACCCGAAACCGGGUGAUCUAGUCAUGCCCAGGGUGAAGGUGCGGUAACACGCACUGGAGGCCCGAACCCACUCCCGUUGCAAAGGUAGGGGAUGAGGUGUGAUUAGGAGUGAAAAGCUAAUCGAACCCGGAGAUAGCUGGUUCUCCUCGAAAGCUAUUUAGGUAGCGCCUCAUAUGUAUCCUCUCGGGGGUAGAGCACUGUUAUGGCUAGGGGGUCAUCGCGACUUACCAAACCAUUGCAAACUCCGAAUACCGAGACGGACUGUAUGGGAGACACACGGCGGGUGCUAACGUCCGUCGUGAAAAGGGAAACAACCCAGACCCACAGCUAAGGUCCCAAAUUCACUGCUAAGUGGAAAACCAUGUGGAAAGGCACAGACAGCCAGGAGGUUGGCUUAGAAGCAGCCACCCUUUAAAGAAAGCGUAAUAGCUCACUGGUCGAGUCGGUCUGCGGGGAAGAUUUAACGGGGCUAAGCAGUGAACCGAAGCUUGGGGUGCAUAACUUUGUUAUGCGCGGUAGAGGAGCGUUCCGUAAGCCGUUGAAGGUGGAUUGAGAAGUCUGCUGGAGGUAUCGGAAGUGCGAAUGCUGACAUGAGUAACGAUAAUGCGGGUGAAAAACCCGCACGCCGAAAGCCCAAGGUUUCCUUGCGCAACGUUAAUCGGCGCAGGGUGAGUCGGCCCCUAAGGCGAGGACGAAAGUCGUAGUCGAUGGGAAGCAGGUUAAUAUUCCUGCACCUCGCGUAAGUGCGAUGGAGGGACGGAGAAGGUUAGGUGUACCAGGCGUUGGUUGUCCUGGGGAAAGGCGGUAGGUUUGGAUCUUUGGCAAAUCCGGGAUCCUUUAAGACCGAGCACCGAGACGAGCCUUUAUGGCGAAGUCACUGAUACCACGCUUCCAGGAAAAGCUCCUAAGCUUCAGCUUACGCAGACCGUACCGUAAACCGACACAGGUGGGUAGGAUGAGAAUUCUCAGGCGCUUGAGAGAACUCGGGUGAAGGAACUAGGCAACAUGGCACCGUAACUUCGGGAGAAGGUGCACCCUUUUUGGUGGCUCGUGCGAGCUAUAGCUGAAGAGGGUCGCAGUAACCAGGCCGCUGCGACUGUUUAUCAAAAACACAGCACUCUGCAAACACGAAAGUGGACGUAUAGGGUGUGACGCCUGCCCGGUGCUGGAAGGUUAAUUGAUGGGGUCAGCCGCAAGGCGAAGCUCUUGAUCGAAGCCCCAGUAAACGGCGGCCGUAACUAUAACGGUCCUAAGGUAGCGAAAUUCCUUGUCGGGUAAGUUCCGACCUGCACGAAUGGCGUAACGACAGCGGCGCUGUCUCCACCCGAGACUCAGUGAAAUUGAAAUCGCUGUGAAGAUGCAGCGUUCCCGUGGCAAGACGGAAAGACCCCGUGAACCUUUACUAUAGCUUUACACUGAACGUUGAGUUCGUCUGUGUAGGAUAGGUGGGAGGCUAUGAAACUGUGGCGCUAGCUGCAGCGGAGCCAUCCUUGAAAUACCACCCUGUCGUGCUUGACGUUCUAACCUGGGCCCAUUAUCUGGGUCGGGGACCGUGUAUGGUGGGUAGUUUGACUGGGGCGGUCUCCUCCUAAAGAGUAACGGAGGAGCUCGAAGGUACGCUCAGCGCGGUCGGACAUCGCGCACUGUGUGCAAAGGCAUAAGCGUGCUUGACUGCAAGAUCGACGGAUCAAGCAGGUAGGAAACUAGGACUUAGUGAUCCGGUGGUUCUGUAUGGAAGGGCCAUCGCUCAACGGAUAAAAGGUACUCCGGGGAUAACAGGCUGAUACCGCCCAAGAGUUCAUAUCGACGGCGGUGUUUGGCACCUCGAUGUCGGCUCAUCACAUCCUGGGGCUGUAGUCGGUCCCAAGGGUAUGGCUGUUCGCCAUUUAAAGUGGUACGCGAGCUGGGUUCAGAACGUCGUGAGACAGUUCGGUCCCUAUCUGCCAUGGGCGUUGGAGAUUUGAGAGGGGCUGCUCCUAGUACGAGAGGACCGGAGUGGACGAACCUCUGGUGUUCCGGUUGUCACGCCAGUGGCAUUGCCGGGUAGCUAUGUUCGGAAGCGAUAACCGCUGAAAGCAUCUAAGCGGGAAGCGCGCCUCAAGAUGAGAUCUCCCGGGGCACAAGCCCCUGAAGGAACCAUGUAGACUACGUGGUUGAUAGGUCAGGUGUGUAAGUACAGCAAUGUAUUGAGCUAACUGAUACUAAUGAUCCGUGCGGCUUGACCAU
Molecule: ribosomal RNA, 2879 nt
Filed under: Stenotrophomonas maltophilia
Lineage: Bacteria; Pseudomonadati; Pseudomonadota; Gammaproteobacteria; Lysobacterales; Lysobacteraceae
Description: 23S ribosomal RNA
Rfam family: Bacterial large subunit ribosomal RNA
Source: RNAcentral